This 253-nucleotide ribosomal RNA is filed under the name uncultured Peptostreptococcus sp. Its description in RNAcentral is "partial 16S ribosomal RNA". It matches the Rfam family "Bacterial small subunit ribosomal RNA", at positions 100 to 355 of the family's 1533-position model. The record is from RNAcentral. Lineage: Bacteria; Bacillati; Bacillota; Clostridia; Peptostreptococcales; Peptostreptococcaceae.
CGGGGUGAGUAACGCGUGGGUAACCUGCCCUAUACACAUGGAUAACAUACUGAAAGUUUACUAAUACAUGAUAAUAUAUAUUUACGGCAUCGUAGAUAUAUCAAAGUGUUAGCGGUAUAGGAUGGACCCGCGUCUGAUUAGCUAGUUGGUGAGAUAACUGCCCACCAAGGCGACGAUCAGUAGCCGACCUGAGAGGGUGAUCGGCCACAUUGGAACUGAGACACGGUCCAAACUCCUACGGGAGGCAGCAGUU